ACUAAACAUUUGUAUAUGGCAAUGCUUCAUCGGAAAACAAACCACAGCCAACUUCGCUAAGAACGGACGCACAUUUUUCAAGUAACCGAUAACCAAUUAAACUCUUGAUUUUCAAAAUGGCUACUUAUGAAAACUUUUGCAACAAUUCUUUCAUUUAUAAAUUUAGAAGAAACGUGACAACAUCUAUUCAGUGUUAAAAGAAUCAGAUAUUUAAUAUAAAAAAAAUCAAUCGUUAAGAUGGAAAUAAUAAAGAAUUUAUAGAGAUAAUCCAAGUGAAAUGAAUGUGGAAAAUUGAAAAACAUGUGCUCUAAAAUUUAGAAAACCCAUGUUAAAAUGGAAAUACUUAUUAAAAAAAAACUAAUAAGAUAUUCCAAGUGAAAUGAAUGUCGAAAAAUGCAUGCGAAAUCCCUUAAAUUGAAGAAAGCCAUGUGAAAUUUUCUAUUUUUGAGGAUAUGAACCGAAUUCAAAAGUAAAUUCCAAAAUGAUUGUAAAGUUAUUUACAAUCUUAUGGAGAAAUAGAAGCAGUUUUGGCGCCAUUUAAUCAUGAGAACUACUUGGGAGAUGAUAAUUGUUGCAACUUCAAUGUAAGAACGUUCAGGAGAUCCCAGAUCAUUCAGUUUCUUAGAACUACUUGGGAGACGAUAGCAUUGUUGUAACUUCAAUGUAAGAAUGUUCAGGAGAUACCAACUCAUUUAAUACCUUAGAUAAUCUUUGGAAAUUGACUUGCAUCAAACUCUCCCAGAGAUGACAAAUGUGUGAAUUAUAAAUUCCUAAAAUUUGCUGUUUUAAAAAGAUUUAAUAAAAACUAAAUAAUUUCAAAUAAAA
Molecule: long non-coding RNA, 825 nt
Organism: Calliphora vicina (urban bluebottle blowfly)
Lineage: Eukaryota; Metazoa; Arthropoda; Insecta; Diptera; Calliphoridae
Exons: 7
Source: RefSeq, a predicted model, not a curated record